AGGGAAUUUACCCUUUCCUUGCUGAAUAGUGUAUCUACUCUGAAAAGCAGCAAACUGCAGGUAGUUAUUGCCUCAUGUGACCUCCAGAUGUUAGCCAUACAGUCAGCAGAACCAGCCUCCAACAAGCACAGCAAGAUUAUUCUCAGCAUGUAUGAUUAUUUCAAUAUCCAUGGAAAGUCCAUUCUGCUGAUCAGGUCCACCUGUGUGAUGUAAAACACCUGUGUGGGAUUUCUGGGAUGCCAUGACUUCCCCUCACCUCAGGGAUUUAAAGGACUAGCCACCUCCUUCCCUCAAGAAAACAGGGCCCAUUCAGUAGCUACUGUUGAGUCUUCCUUUGGAUUUGAUGUCCACCGAGAGCUAUAAUCGGAAAGUGAGAUAAUGAUACUAGAAUGCCUGGGCUAAUAAGACGAAUGGAGGGGUUUCUGAGAGUUCCAGGCAGACUUGGAGAAAGCAGAACAAGAAUACUUCCAGGAAUAAAUUGGGAAUCUGAGAAACAGUCAUAGGGAGUGAUCAAAUGGGAGACACUCUUUCCUAAGGAAGAGAAGAGGCAUGAGGGUAUCUCUAUGUAGCUCUGGCUGUACUGAAACUCAGAGAUCUGCCUACAUUUGCCUUUCAAGUCCUGGGAUUAAAGGUGGGUGUCAUUAUGCCAAUCUUGACCUU
Non-coding RNA from Myodes glareolus (Bank vole), 660 nucleotides. NCBI's taxonomy places the organism in Eukaryota, Metazoa, Chordata, Mammalia, Rodentia, Cricetidae. The record is from RefSeq and is a predicted model, not a curated record.